Molecule: transfer RNA, 361 nt
Filed under: uncultured Microcystis sp.
Lineage: Bacteria; Bacillati; Cyanobacteriota; Cyanophyceae; Chroococcales; Microcystaceae
Description: partial 16S-23S ribosomal RNA intergenic spacer
Rfam family: tRNA (bases 134-207)
Source: RNAcentral
AAAGGGAGACCUAAUUCAGGUAUGGGACGAAAAAAAAGUAGUCCCUACCAAGAAUCAAUCCCAAAAGGUCGGAACGAGGUGUGUGGCUUUCAAACUAGGUUCUGGGUUCACACAAGACCUGAAUCAGGAACAAGGGCUAUUAGCUCAGGUGGUUAGAGCGCACCCCUGAUAAGGGUGAGGUCCCUGGUUCGAGUCCAGGAUGGCCCACCUGUACAGGUGGCAAAAACAAAGAAGCGAGGAAUCAGCACCUUAUCUUAUCUAUAUAUAUAUAGGAGAGAAUGCUGGCUCUGAGUAAAGAGUCCAGAGGAACCUUGAAAACUGCAUAGAGCUAGGUGAAAAAGCCAAAAAAGAAGACCGCAAG